UACGGGGGGAGCAAGCGUUGUUCGGAUUUACUGGGCGUAAAGGGCGCGUAGGCGGCCACCGCAAGUCGACUGUGAAAUCUCCGGGCUUAACCCGGAAAGGUCAGCCGAUACUGCGGGGCUAGAGUGCAGAAGGGGCAACUGGAAUUCUCGGUGUAGCGGUGAAAUGCGUAGAGAUGUGGAGGAACACCAGUGGCGAAGGCGGCUUUCUGGUCUGUAACUGACGCUGAGGCGCGAAAGCGUGGGGAGCAAACAGG
RNAcentral lists this ribosomal RNA (254 nucleotides) under uncultured bacterium. RNAcentral describes it as "partial 16S ribosomal RNA". It matches the Rfam family "Bacterial small subunit ribosomal RNA", at positions 524 to 776 of the family's 1533-position model. The record is from RNAcentral.